UACAUGUGGGGCAAGCGUUGUUCGGAAUUACUGGGCGUAAAGGGUGCGUAGGUGGUUUCUUAAGUCAGAGGUGAAAGGCUACGGCUCAACCGUAGUAAGCCUUUGAAACUGGGAAACUUGAGUGCAGGAGAGGAGAGUGGAAUUCCUAGUGUAGCGGUGAAAUGCGUAGAUAUUAGGAGGAACACCAGUUGCGAAGGCGGCUCUCUGGACUGUAACUGACACUGAGGCACGAAAGCGUGGGGAGCAAACAGG
RNAcentral lists this ribosomal RNA (252 nucleotides) under uncultured bacterium. Its description in RNAcentral is "partial 16S ribosomal RNA". It matches the Rfam family "Bacterial small subunit ribosomal RNA", at positions 524 to 776 of the family's 1533-position model. The record is from RNAcentral.